This 450-nucleotide ribosomal RNA is filed under the name uncultured bacterium. Its description in RNAcentral is "partial 16S ribosomal RNA". It matches the Rfam family "Bacterial small subunit ribosomal RNA", at positions 354 to 796 of the family's 1533-position model. The record is from RNAcentral.
GUGGGGAAUCUUCCGCAAUGGACGAAAGUCUGACGGAGCGACGCCGCGUGAGUGAAGAAGGCCUUCGGGUCGUAAAGCUCUGUCAUCAGGGACGAACGGCCGGUGGAGUGGAAAGCCACCGGAUUGACGGUACCUGAGAAGGAAGCCACGGCUAACUACGUGCCAGCAGCCGCGGUAAUACGUAGGUGGCAAGCGUUGUCCGGAAUUAUUGGGCGUAAAGCGCGCGCAGGUGGGAUCUUAAGUCCAUUUUUAAAGUUCGGAGCUCAACUCCGUGAUGGGAUGGAAACUGGGAUUCUUGAGUACCGGAGAGGAAAGCGGAAUUCCCCGUGUAGCGGUGAAAUGCGUAGAUAUGGAGAGGAACACCAGUGGCGAAGGCGGCUUUCUGGACGGUGUCUGACACUGAGGCGCGAAAGCCAGGGGAGCGAACGGGAUUAGAAACCCUGGUAGUCC